UUUCCGUAGGUGAACCUGCGGAAGGAUCAUUAAAAAAGACCUCGAUUUUAAAGGUCUAAUAAUAUCCUACCCUUUGUGAAUUUGUGUUUUGAUAUUUUUAAUUAUGUGUCUUUCCCUGUUUGAUAGAGCUGUUUCGAUAAUGAAAAUCACCAGGGGAAUGAGUAAUAAAAAACCUUUUUUUUAAAUUAAACUUUUUGUAUUCAUUUGUCUAAAAUUAUUUUUAUAAUAUAAAAACAACUUUUGACAAUGGAUCUCUUGGUUCUCGCAACGAUGAAGAACGCAGCAAAAUGCGAUAAGUAGUGUGAAUUGCAGAAUACGUGAAUCAUCGAAUCUUCGAACGCAUAUUGCACUUUUUUAGUUUACUAAAAAAGUAUGUCUGUUUGAGUACCAGUAAAAUAUUCUCAUAAAAACUAUUGUUUUUAUGGUUAUGAGUGUUUUACAACGAUACAAGUUGUUUCACUUUAAAUUUUUUUUUUAAAAUUUGAAAUUUUUCUAAUUUUAAAAUAAAAUUGGAUAAAAUUUUCCCGUAAAAAGGAAUAACCUAAAACAAUUUUAAUUUUAAAAUAAAAGAAAAAGUAUUCAUAAAGGAAAAUUUAACAAAAAUAACUUGAUCUCAAAUCAGAUAAGAGUACCCGCUGAACUUAAGCAUAUCAAUAAGCGGAGGAAAAGAAACUAACAAGGAUUCCCUUAGUAACGGCGAGUGAAGCGGGAAGAGCUCAAAUUUGAAAUCUUCAAGGUUUUACCUUGACGAAUUGUAGUUUAAAGAAGUGUUUUCUGUUGAAGUUUUGGUAAAAGUUCUUUGGAAUAGGACAUCAUAGAGGGUGAGAAUCCCGUAUUUGACCAUUAUUUUCAGCUGUGUGAUACACUUUCAAAGAGUCGGAUUGUUUGGGAAUGCAGUCCAAAAUGGGUGGUAAAUUUCAUCUAAAGCUAAAUAUUGGCGAGAGACCGAUAGCGAACAAGUACCGUGAGGGAAAGAUGAAAAGAACUUUGAAAAGAGAGUUAAACAGUACGUGAAAUUGUCAAAAGGGAAGCGUUUGACACCAGUGUUGUUUUCUCGAAAAUCAAUUAAAAAAAGUUGGAUUUUGUGUUGUAUUGACCUUAACAGCUUUCUUCACUCUUUUCCUGCUUUUUUUAAUGCACUUUUCGUUUAACAAGUCAACAUCAGUUUCUUUUGUUGUAAAAAGGUCAUUGGAAGGUGGCUUUCUUUUCGGAGAAAGUGUUUAUAGCCUUUGAUCCCUGCAAUCGGAGAGACUGAGGUCUGCAGCGUAGAUCCUUCGGGGUUAGAUACAUUUGUGCUAAGUUAUAGCUUUUUAUAGACAACUUGUUGACUAUAUUUAGUCUUGUAGCUUACUCGCUUAUGCUAUUUUACCUACGCUUAGGAUGUUG
Molecule: unclassified non-coding RNA, 1386 nt
Filed under: uncultured Neocallimastigales
Lineage: Eukaryota; Fungi; Neocallimastigomycota; Neocallimastigomycetes; Neocallimastigales
Description: partial contains small subunit ribosomal RNA, internal transcribed spacer 1, 5.8S ribosomal RNA, internal transcribed spacer 2, and large subunit ribosomal RNA
Rfam family: Eukaryotic large subunit ribosomal RNA (bases 609-1386)
Source: RNAcentral